RNAcentral lists this ribosomal RNA (468 nucleotides) under uncultured bacterium. RNAcentral's name for it is "partial 16S ribosomal RNA". It matches the Rfam family "Bacterial small subunit ribosomal RNA", at positions 28 to 507 of the family's 1533-position model. The record is from RNAcentral.
GACGAACGCUGGCGGCGUGCUUAACACAUGCAAGUCGAACGGAAAGGCCCUGCUUUUGUGGGGUGCUCGAGUGGCGAACGGGUGAGUAACACGUGAGUAACCUGCCCUUGACUUUGGGAUAACUUCAGGAAACUGGGGCUAAUACCGGAUAGGAGCUCCUGCUGCAUGGUGGGGGUUGGAAAGUUUCGGCGGUUGGGGAUGGACUCGCGGCUUAUCAGCUUGUUGGUGGGGUAGUGGCUUACCAAGGCUUUGACGGGUAGCCGGCCUGAGAGGGUGACCGGCCACAUGAGGACUGAGAUACGGCCCAGACUCCUACGGGAGGCAGCAGUGGGGAAUAUUGCACAAUGGGCGGAAGCCUGAUGCAGCAACGCCGCGUGCGGGAUGACGGCCUUCGGGUUAUAAACCGAUUUCGCCUGUGACGAAGAGUGAGUGACGGUAAUGGGUAAAGAAGCACCGGCUAACUACGUG